Molecule: ribosomal RNA, 198 nt
Filed under: uncultured bacterium
Lineage: Bacteria
Description: partial 16S ribosomal RNA
Rfam family: Bacterial small subunit ribosomal RNA
Source: RNAcentral
ACGCUCGACACCUACGGGAUGCAGCAGUGGGGAAUAUUGCACAAUGGGGGAAACCCUGAUGCAGCGACGCCGCGUGAGCGAAGAAGUAUUUCGGUAUGUAAAGCUCUAUCAGCAGGGAAGAAACUGACGGUACCUGACUAAGAAGCACCGGCUAAAUACGUGCAAGCAGCCGCGGUAAUCUGAGCGGGCUGGCAAGGC